Molecule: ribosomal RNA, 515 nt
Filed under: uncultured bacterium
Lineage: Bacteria
Description: partial 16S ribosomal RNA
Rfam family: Bacterial small subunit ribosomal RNA
Source: RNAcentral
GAUGAACGCUGGCGGCGUGCCUAAUACAUGCAAGUCGAGCGAAUGGAUUAAGAGCCUGCUCUUAUGAAGUUAGCGGCGGACGGGUGAGUAACACGUGGGUAACCUGCCCAUAAGACUGGGAUAACUCCGGGAAACCGGGGCUAAUACCGGAUAACAUUUUGAACCGCAUGGUUCGAAAUUGAAAGGCGGCUUCGGCUGUCACUUAUGGAUGGACCCGCGUCGCAUUAGCUAGUUGGUGAGGUAACGGCUCACCAAGGCAACGAUGCGUAGCCGACCUGAGGGGGUGGUCGGCCACACUGGGACUGAGACACGGCCCAGACUCCUACGGGAGGCAGCAGUAGGGGAUCUUCCGCAAUGGACGAAAGUCUGACGGAGCAACGCCGCGUAAGUGAUGAAGGCUUUCGGGUCGUAAAACUCUGUUGUUAGGGAAGAACAAGUGCUAGUUGAAUAAGCUGGCACCUUGACGGUACCUAACCAGAAAGCCACGGCUAACUACGUGCCAGCCGCCGCGGUAA